Molecule: unclassified non-coding RNA, 211 nt
Filed under: Hevea brasiliensis (rubber tree)
Lineage: Eukaryota; Viridiplantae; Streptophyta; Magnoliopsida; Malpighiales; Euphorbiaceae
Source: RNAcentral
AAAAUGGCAUGGAUGUCAUGUUGAAGUUGUUGACAUCUACAAAAUAUGAAUGGACCAGUUCACCUGAAUUGCUUUCAGCACUAAAGCCCCCUCUAAUGCGACUGUGUGCCAGGUACCUUCUGGAAGAAAAAAAGAGAGGAAAAGCUCUUGAUUCUGUUGCAAAUUUUCACUUGCAAAAUGGAGCGAUGAUUGAAAGAAUAAAUUGGAUGGC